GCAAGUCGAGCGGACAGAUCCGGAGCUUGCUCCCUGAUGUUAGCGGCGGACGGGUGAGUAACACGUGGGUAACCUGCCUGUAAGACUGGGAUAACUCCGGGAAACCGGGGCUAAUACCGGAUGGUUGUUUGAACCGCAUGGUUCAGACAUAAAAGGUGGCUUCGGCUACCACUUACAGAUGGACCCGCGGCGCAUUAGCUAGUUGGUGAGGUAACGGCUCACCAAGGCAACGAUGCGUAGCCGACCUGAGAGGGUGAUCGGCCACACUGGGACUGAGACACGGCCCAGACUCCUACGGGAGGCAGCAGUAGGGAAUCUUCCGCAAUGGACGAAAGUCUGACGGAGCAACGCCGCGUGAGUGAUGAAGGUUUUCGGAUCGUAAAGCUCUGUUGUUAGGGAAGAACAAGUGCCGUUCAAAUAGGGCGGCACCUUGACGGUACCUAACCAGAAAGCCACGGCUAACUACGUGCCAGCAGCCGCGGUAAUACGUAGGUGGCAAGCGUUGUCCGGAAUUAUUGGGCGUAAAGGGCUCGCAGGCGGUUUCUUAAGUCUGAUGUGAAAGCCCCCGGCUCAACCGGGGAGGGUCAUUGGAAACUGGGGAACUUGAGUGCAGAAGAGGAGAGUGGAAUUCCACGUGUAGCGGUGAAAUGCGUAAUAGAUGUGGAGGAACACCAGUGGCGAAGGCGACUCUCUGGUCUGUAAUUGACGCUGAGGAGCGAAAGGCGUUGGGGAACGAACUGGAUGA
RNAcentral lists this ribosomal RNA (745 nucleotides) under Bacillus subtilis. RNAcentral describes it as "bacterial SSU rRNA". It matches the Rfam family "Bacterial small subunit ribosomal RNA", at positions 57 to 780 of the family's 1533-position model. Lineage: Bacteria; Bacillati; Bacillota; Bacilli; Caryophanales; Bacillaceae. The record is from RNAcentral.